Molecule: ribosomal RNA, 470 nt
Filed under: uncultured beta proteobacterium
Lineage: Bacteria; Pseudomonadati; Pseudomonadota; Betaproteobacteria
Description: bacterial SSU rRNA
Rfam family: Bacterial small subunit ribosomal RNA
Source: RNAcentral
GGAGAAACCAUGUGGAUCGCAAGACCUUGCGCUCAUUGAGCGGCCGAUGCCUGAUUAGCUAGUUGGUGAGGUAAAGGCUUACCAAGGCGACGAUCAGUAGCUGGUCUGAGAGGACGACCAGCCACACUGGGACUGAGACACGGCCCAGACUCCUACGGGAGGCAGCAGUGGGGAAUUUUGGACAAUGGGGGAAACCCUGAUCCAGCCAUGCCGCGUGAGUGAAGAAGGCCUUCGGGUUGUAGAGCUCUUUCAGUCGGAACGAAACGGUCACGGCUAAUACCUGUGACUACUGACGGUACCGGAAGAAGAAGCACCGGCUAACUACGUGCCAGCAGCCGCGGUAAUACGUAGGGUGCGAGCGUUAAUCGGAAUUACUGGGCGUAAAGCGUGCGCAGGCGGUUUUGUAAGUCAGAUGUGAAAUCCCCGGGCUUAACCUGGGAACUGCGUUUGAAACUACAAGGCUAGAAGGG